Molecule: ribosomal RNA, 253 nt
Filed under: uncultured bacterium
Lineage: Bacteria
Description: partial 16S ribosomal RNA
Rfam family: Bacterial small subunit ribosomal RNA
Source: RNAcentral
UACGGAGGGUGCGAGCGUUGUCCGGAAUCACUGGGCGUAAAGGGCGCGUAGGCGGCGCGGGAAGUCAUCGGUGAAAGUUCAGGGCUCAACUCUGAAUCGGCCGGUGAUACGCUCGUGCUCGAGCACUGUAGAGGCAGGUGGAAUUCCGGGUGUAGCGGUGGAAUGCGUAGAGAUCCGGAAGAACACCGGUGGCGAAGGCGGCCUGCUGGGCAGUAGCUGACGCUGAUGCGCGACAGCGUGGGGAGCAAACAGG